AGUGAACGCUGGCGGUAGGCCUAACACAUGCAAGUCGAACGGCAGCACAGUAAGAGCUUGCUCUUACGGGUGGCGAGUGGCGGACGGGUGAGGAAUACAUCGGAAUCUACUUUUUCGUGGGGGAUAACGUAGGGAAACUUACGCUAAUACCGCAUACGACCUACGGGUGAAAGCAGGGGAUCUUCGGACCUUGCGCGAUUGAAUGAGCCGAUGUCGGAUUAGCUAGUUGGCGGGGUAAAGGCCCACCAAGGCGACGAUCCGUAGCUGGUCUGAGAGGAUGAGCAGCCACACUGGAACUGAGACACGGUCCAGACUCCUACGGGAGGCAGCAGUGGGGAAUAUUGGACAAAGGGCGCAAGCCUGAUCCAGCCAUACCGCGUGGGUGAAGAAGGCCUUCGGGUUGUAAAGCCCUUUUGUUGGGAAAGAAAAGCAGCAGGUUAAUACCCCGCUGUUCUGACGGUACCCAAAGAAUAAGCACCGGCUAACUUCGUG
RNAcentral lists this ribosomal RNA (492 nucleotides) under uncultured bacterium. RNAcentral's name for it is "partial 16S ribosomal RNA". It matches the Rfam family "Bacterial small subunit ribosomal RNA", at positions 29 to 507 of the family's 1533-position model. The record is from RNAcentral.